RNAcentral lists this unclassified non-coding RNA (346 nucleotides) under soil metagenome. Its description in RNAcentral is "partial contains 5.8S ribosomal RNA, internal transcribed spacer 2, and large subunit ribosomal RNA". The stretch from base 1 to 120 matches the Rfam family "5.8S ribosomal RNA", at positions 35 to 154 of the family's 154-position model. The record is from RNAcentral.
GAUGAAGAACGCAGCGAAAUGCGAUACGUAAUGUGAAUUGCAGAAUUCAGUGAAUCAUCGAGUCUUUGAACGCACAUUGCGCCCCCUGGUAUUCCGGGGGGCAUGCCUGUCCGAGCGUCAUUGCUGCCCUCAAGCCCGGCUUGUGUGUUGGGUCUCGUCCCCCUUCCCGGGGGGACGGGCCCGAAAGGCAGCGGCGGCACGGUGUCCGGUCCUCGAGCGUAUGGGGCUUUGUCACCCGCUCUGUAGGCCCGGCCGGCGCUUGCCGAUCAACCAAAACUUUUUUCCAGGUUGACCUCGGAUCAGGUAGGGAUACCCGCUGAACUUAAGCAUAUCAAUAAGCGGAGGA